RNAcentral lists this ribosomal RNA (495 nucleotides) under uncultured bacterium. RNAcentral's name for it is "partial 16S ribosomal RNA". It matches the Rfam family "Bacterial small subunit ribosomal RNA", at positions 28 to 505 of the family's 1533-position model. The record is from RNAcentral.
GAUGAACGCUGGCGGCGUGCCUAAUACAUGCAAGUCGAGCGAACGGACGAGAAGCUUGCUUCUCUGAUGUUAGCGGCGGACGGGUGAGUAACACGUGGAUAACCUACCUAUAAGACUGGGAUAACUUCGGGAAACCGGAGCUAAUACCGGAUAAUAUUUUGAACCGCAUGGUUCAAAAGUGAAAGACGGUCUUGCUGUCACUUAUAGAUGGAUCCGCGCUGCAUUAGCUAGUUGGUAAGGUAACGGCUUACCAAGGCAACGAUGCAUAGCCGACCUGAGAGGGUGAUCGGCCACACUGGAACUGAGACACGGUCCAGACUCCUACGGGAGGCAGCAGUAGGGAAUCUUCCGAGAUGGGCGAAAGCCUGACGGAGCAACGCCGCGUGAGUGAUGAAGGUCUUCGGAUCGUAAAACUCUGUUAUUAGGGAAGAACAUAUGUGUAAGUAACUGUGCACAUCUUGACGGUACCUAAUCAGAAAGCCACGGCUAACUACG